GGAGGAAAACUAGGCAUGGGAGGAGCUGGGUCUUUGUAGCCCCUCACUGACCGCUGCUGCUAACAGGCGCGCCACCUCCUAGGUCAGCGCGCCCCUAAAGUCAGUGGGGAAAAUGCCCAACUGGCCUUCCUAUCUCCCCAACUCCACUUCCAAAUUAAACCCCUCCUCCCCGCGCGCAGUUGCUAGUGACCAACCUUAAACUUUUCCGACCUUAUUUCGGGAUGCUCAUGUAGUGGGGAUCCUUUGGGAUUCAGGGUGUCAUCUGGGAAAGGUGACCUUGUGCACACUCCUACCUCGUCCCUGCUCUUAAAACAUACACUAAAUUCUUGGGAGGUUUUGUAGAGUUCAGGACGACAUUCCCCAGCUAACCUCUGGGUCGUGGUGCCCCGAAAGGUUAAAUCUACGAGGUGCCGGGACCGCCGUGGGAUGAAAACACUGUCGUGUCCAGGGACACCAGUGCGGUUGUCGCGUUCGCUCUGAGUUUUCCCUGGACUUCAGAUUACUCAAAGACAACACGUUGGGUAGGAGCAGGGUACCUUCCUGGGACCCAGAGAGAAACACCGUUUCUCCACCCCCAAGUCUCUCUCUGUACACACACCCCUUAGUAGCUACCUCCAAACGGUUAUCACAGCUGUGUACAAACUGAUACGGCCCUUAGCGGGCCAAGGACUGGAAACGAACCACUGGCGGGGUUAUCAGUGUGGAUCUGUCAGCAGCGAGUCACGCACUGUUCGUCCCCAGGCAGCAGCCGUGAUAAAGGUCUUGUUCCUUCGGGCUCACAGAAAGGAUUUCUUCCGACAAGCUGGACACUGGAAGAUUGUGGAAAGGGAAUUGGACAGGAGGAGCUCCCUUAUGGAAAUGGAUUUUUACACACACUCACAAAAAGGAUUUCUUUCGACAAGCUGGACACUGGAAGAUUGUGGAAAGGGAAUUGGACAGAAUAUGGAAAUGGAUUUUUACACACACACACCCCAGUUAGAGGAAGGAGAGGGGUCCAAGCAGAGCUGAACAUCGAGUCCUGGGUACGCUGUAAAAUACGAUUUCCAGAGGGUGUGAGACCUCGCUGGAAAGGAGUUCUUUCCUUGAACUGAACCUGUGCGCUAGCAGAGAAGGGUCAGGGUCAGAACUUGCUGGGGGGGGGGGGGGAGAAGACCUAAUUCAGGAAGUUAACGAGAAUUUUGCGUUUUCAUUUCUCACUGAACAUUUCGGCCAAACACUUCCGAAUUUUAAAUCUGCUACCGACCGUUCUAGUCUAACUGCGUCACUUUUUGCCUCCCCCACCCACCCCAACUCCCCGUCACUGGGACUAAAAGACUGAAAGAUAGAAAACUCUGGAAUGGAGACGCUAGCGGCUGGACUAGGACUCGGAGGUUUUGAAUGUUAACCCACACGGGGUCGAAAGAGACUGGCACGGGCCGGCCCAAAUCCCACUGCAGGUUUCAGCGGCUUGCUUUGGGUUGUUCGCUUGUUAUCUGGGCCACCCAAUGACCGACGAAAGAUCUUCCCUCCCCACGUCUCCCAUCGCAGUUUUAAACCAAAUAAAUUUAGCUAUUAAGGCCCGAGACGUCUGACAAAAGAUCGAAAGGUGUCUCUCUGGGAUCGCUUAAAGAAGCCAAGAAGCUGGCGACUCUCAGAAUCCCGAUAAAGAAAUUCCAGCCGGCGCCGACCUCCCUCCCCAGCCUGCUUACACCCAACACCCUGAGAUCAGGACCUCAGAGGGCCACUGGGACGUGUGGCUACAGCUGAGGCAAUGUCUAGGGUCCCGAGCCUAGGGUUGUUAGACUUUGGGAGCGGGCACUGAGGUCCCUGGAGCAGCGAGACCUGAAACAUCUCCUGCCAAGCUUGCAGAAGCACCAAGGCCAAGGAAACCCGAAGUGGCUUUACAUUUGCUUUUUUCCCCUUUUCCUUUGAGACAAAGUCUCUCAUUAUGCAUGGCAGGCUAGCCUCAAACUCAUGAUCCUCGAGUCUCAGGUCUGUGCAGUAUUGGGAUUAGAAAUGUAGCCUUGUCCUGCCGUUUUUAUUGUUUGCUAAUACUGAGUAAUAAAGACAAAACCCAAUCAUA
This is a non-coding RNA of Myodes glareolus (Bank vole), 2062 nucleotides long. The record is from RefSeq and is a predicted model, not a curated record. Lineage: Eukaryota; Metazoa; Chordata; Mammalia; Rodentia; Cricetidae.